GGUUAAGCGACUAAGCGUACACGGUGGAUGCCCUGGCAGUCAGAGGCGAUGAAGGACGUGCUAAUCUGCGAAAAGCGCCGGCGAGGUGAUAUGAACCUUUGACCCGGCGAUGUCCGAAUGGGGAAACCCAGUGCAAUUCGUUGCACUAUCGUUAACUGAAUACAUAGGUUAACGAGGCGAACCGGGGGAACUGAAACAUCUAAGUACCCCGAGGAAAAGAAAUCAACCGAGAUUCCCCCAGUAGCGGCGAGCGAACGGGGAGCAGCCCAGAGUCUGAAUCAGCUUGUGUGUUAGUGGAAGCGUCUGGAAAGUCGCACGGUACAGGGUGACAGUCCCGUACACGAAAGCACACAGGUUGUGAACUCGAAGAGUAGGGCGGGACACGUGGUAUCCUGUCUGAAUAUGGGGGGACCAUCCUCCAAGGCUAAAUACUCCUGACUGACCGAUAGUGAACCAGUACCGUGAGGGAAAGGCGAAAAGAACCCCGGCGAGGGGAGUGAAAAAGAACCUGAAACCGUGUACGUACAAGCAGUGGGAGCACCCUAGUGGUGUGACUGCGUACCUUUUGUAUAAUGGGUCAGCGACUUAUAUUCUGUAGCAAGGUUAACCGUAUAGGGGAGCCGAAGGGAAACCGAGUCUUAACUGGGCGUUAAGUUGCAGGGUAUAGACCCGAAACCCGGUGAUCUAGCCAUGGGCAGGUUGAAGGUUGGGUAACACUAACUGGAGGACCGAACCGACUAAUGUUGAAAAAUUAGCGGAUGACUUGUGGCUGGGGGUGAAAGGCCAAUCAAACCGGGAGAUAGCUGGUUCUCCCCGAAAGCUAUUUAGGUAGCGCCUCGUGAACUCAUCUUCGGGGGUAGAGCACUGUUUCGGCUAGGGGGCCAUCCCGGCUUACCAACCCGAUGCAAACUACGAAUACCGAAGAAUGUUAUCACGGGAGACACACGGCGGGUGCUAACGUCCGUCGUGAAGAGGGAAACAACCCAGACCGCCAGCUAAGGUCCCAAAGUCAUGGUUAAGUGGGAAACGAUGUGGGAAGGCACAGACAGCCAGGAUGUUGGCUUAGAAGCAGCCAUCAUUUAAAGAAAGCGUAAUAGCUCACUGGUCGAGUCGGCCUGCGCGGAAGAUGUAACGGGGCUAAACCAUGCACCGAAGCUGCGGCAGCGACGCUUAUGCGUUGUUGGGUAGGGGAGCGUUCUGUAAGCCGUUGAAGGUGUCCUGUGAGGGGUGCUGGAGGUAUCAGAAGUGCGAAUGCUGACAUAAGUAACGAUAAAGCGGGUGAAAAGCCCGCUCGCCGGAAGACCAAGGGUUCCUGUCCAACGUUAAUCGGGGCAGGGUGAGUCGACCCCUAAGGCGAGGCCGAAAGGCGUAGUCGAUGGGAAACAGGUUAAUAUUCCUGUACUUGGUGUUACUGCGAAGGGGGGACGGAGAAGGCUAUGUUAGCCGGGCGACGGUUGUCCCGGUUUAAGCAUGUAGGCGGAGGUUCCAGGUAAAUCCGGUACCUUUUUAACGCUGAGGUGUGAUGACGAGGCACUACGGUGCUGAAGUAACAAAUGCCCUGCUUCCAGGAAAAGCCUCUAAGCAUCAGGUAACAUCAAAUCGUACCCCAAACCGACACAGGUGGUCAGGUAGAGAAUACCAAGGCGCUUGAGAGAACUCGGGUGAAGGAACUAGGCAAAAUGGUGCCGUAACUUCGGGAGAAGGCACGCUGAUAUGUAGGUGAAGCCCCUGCGGGUGGAGCUGAAAUCAGUCGAAGAUACCAGCUGGCUGCAACUGUUUAUUAAAAACACAGCACUGUGCAAACACGAAAGUGGACGUAUACGGUGUGACGCCUGCCCGGUGCCGGAAGGUUAAUUGAUGGGGUUAGCGGCAACGCGAAGCUCUUGAUCGAAGCCCCGGUAAACGGCGGCCGUAACUAUAACGGUCCUAAGGUAGCGAAAUUCCUUGUCGGGUAAGUUCCGACCUGCACGAAUGGCGUAAUGAUGGCCAGGCUGUCUCCACCCGAGACUCAGUGAAAUUGAACUCGCUGUGAAGAUGCAGUGUACCCGCGGCAAGACGGAAAGACCCCGUGAACCUUUACUAUAGCUUGACACUGAACACUGGUCCUUGAUGUGUAGGAUAGGUGGGAGGCUUUGAAGCGUGGACGCCAGUCUGCGUGGAGCCAACCUUGAAAUACCACCCUUUAAUGGCUGGUGUUCUAACGUAGACCCGUGAUCCGGGUUGCGGACAGUGUCUGGUGGGUAGUUUGACUGGGGCGGUCUCCUCCCAAAGAGUAACGGAGGAGCACGAAGGUUAGCUAAUCCUGGUCGGACAUCAGGAGGUUAGUGCAAUGGCAUAAGCUAGCUUGACUGCGAGAGUGACGGCUCGAGCAGGUGCGAAAGCAGGUCAUAGUGAUCCGGUGGUUCUGAAUGGAAGGGCCAUCGCUCAACGGAUAAAAGGUACUCCGGGGAUAACAGGCUGAUACCGCCCAAGAGUUCAUAUCGACGGCGGUGUUUGGCACCUCGAUGUCGGCUCAUCACAUCCUGGGGCUGAAGUAGGUCCCAAGGGUAUGGCUGUUCGCCAUUUAAAGUGGUACGCGAGCUGGGUUUAGAACGUCGUGAGACAGUUCGGUCCCUAUCUGCCGUGGGCGCUGGAGAAUUGAGGGGGGCUGCUCCUAGUACGAGAGGACCGGAGUGGACGCAUCACUGGUGUUCGGGUUGUCAUGCCAAUGGCACUGCCCGGUAGCUAAAUGCGGAAAAGAUAAGUGCUGAAAGCAUCUAAGCACGAAACUUGCCCCGAGAUGAGUUCUCCCUGACCCUUUAAGGGUCCUGAAGGAACGUUGAAGACUACGACGUUGAUAGGUCGGGUGUGUAAGCGCAGCGAUGCGUUGAGCUAACCGAUACUAAUGAACCGUGAGGCUUAACCUU
Molecule: ribosomal RNA, 2906 nt
Filed under: Enterobacter asburiae
Lineage: Bacteria; Pseudomonadati; Pseudomonadota; Gammaproteobacteria; Enterobacterales; Enterobacteriaceae
Description: 23S ribosomal RNA
Rfam family: Bacterial large subunit ribosomal RNA
Source: RNAcentral